RNAcentral lists this ribosomal RNA (464 nucleotides) under uncultured bacterium. RNAcentral describes it as "bacterial SSU rRNA". It matches the Rfam family "Bacterial small subunit ribosomal RNA", at positions 917 to 1382 of the family's 1533-position model. The record is from RNAcentral.
GGGCCCGCACAAGCGGUGGAGCAUGUGGUUUAAUUCGACGCAACGCGAAGAACCUUACCAGGCCUUGACAUCCCGAGAAUCCUGCAGAGAUGCGGGAGUGCCUUCGGGAACUCGGUGACAGGUGCUGCAUGGCUGUCGUCAGCUCGUGUCGUGAGAUGUUGGGUUAAGUCCCGUAACGAGCGCAACCCUUGUCCUUAGUUGCCAUCAUUCAGUUGGGCACUUUAAGGAGACUGCCGGUGACAAACCGGAGGAAGGUGGGGAUGAUGUCAAGUCAUCAUGGCCCUUACGGCCUGGGCUACACACGUGCUACAAUGGUUGGUACAAAGGGUCGCUAAGCCGCGAGGUGGAGCUAAUCCCAUAAAACCAAUCGUAGUCCGGAUUGGAGUCUGCAACUCGACUCCAUGAAGUCGGAAUCGCUAGUAAUCGUGAAUCAGAAUGUCACGGUGAAUACGUUCCCGGGCCUU